Molecule: long non-coding RNA, 1045 nt
Organism: Homo sapiens (human)
Lineage: Eukaryota; Metazoa; Chordata; Mammalia; Primates; Hominidae
Gene: HISLA
Product: HIF1A stabilizing long noncoding RNA
Source: Ensembl
GAGUACCCAGGGACACGAUACACUGCGGAAGGCUGCAGGGACCUCUGCCCAGGAAAGCCAGAACAAGCCCUGUGAAAAACAAGCUGCUGUCCCUGCUAGAGGCAUCCUGCAAUCCAUGGAUGUUUAUCACCAAGCCAUUGUUAACAUGAGGAGCCAGAAAAACUUCAUCUCUUUUACAAGAAACAUUGAGAUUCCUGUAAAAUUAAGAAAUCACACAAUUUGAUGGUCUACAUUAUCUAAAGCAAAUGAGACUUCUAUUUGGAACAAAGACUACCUUGUUGGGAAAUGAGUCUGCAAGUUAAAGUGUUUUCUGUUUUCUAAGGAUAAUGGUCUCCAGCUUCGUCAAUGUUCCUGCAAAGGACAUGAUGCUGACUUUGAAGAUGCAAGCUUCCACAUCUACAGCCUCAAGGAAACAAAUUCAGCCAACCAACUGAGGGAGCUUUCCUUGUCCUGCCUCAAGAUGAGAUCACAGUCUGCCCAACACCAUGAUUUAGGCCUUGUGACACCUGAGCUCAGAUGGAAAAGAAUGGUGUUACUGAGACCCUUCAAGAUUCCCAGUGUAAUUCAAUAAAGAAAAGGCAACACAAAGGGGUUGUAUAGAAUUCGCCACAUUAUGGACCCAUGUCAUAGAGAGAAUCCACGGUGCAUUUGUUAGCUGCAUUUAAAUGACAACACUUUCAGAUCCAAGAUUUAUUUGGGAUAAAAAUUUACCUGGAUGCAAGGCUAUUCAGAAUGAAGAUUAAUGAUAUGGUUUGGCUGUGUCCCCACCCAAACUUCAUCUUGAAUUCCCACGUGUUGUGAGAGGGACCUGGUGGGAGAUAAUUGAACCAUGGGGGCAGGUCUUUCUCAUGCUGUUCUCAUGAGAGUGAAUAAGUCUCAUGAAACCUGAUGGUUUUAUAAGGGGGAAUUUCCCUGCACAAGCUCUCUCUCUGCCUUUUGCCAUCCAUGUAAGACGUGACUUGGUCCUCCUUGCCUUCUACCAUGAUUAUGAGGCCUCCCCAGCCACGUGGAACUGUGAGUCCAUUAAACCUCUUUCUUUUGUAAA